Molecule: ribosomal RNA, 210 nt
Filed under: uncultured bacterium
Lineage: Bacteria
Description: partial 16S ribosomal RNA
Rfam family: Bacterial small subunit ribosomal RNA
Source: RNAcentral
CGCGUAGGCGGUCCGAUAAGUCCCGUGUGAAAUCCCUCGGCUCAACUGAGGAAUGGCACGGGAAACUGACGGGCUUGAGUUCGGGAGAGGGAAGCGGAAUUCCGGGUGUAGCGGUGAAAUGCGUAGAUAUCCGGAGGAACACCGGUGGCGAAGGCGGCUUCCUGGACCGACACUGACGCUGAGGCGCGAAAGCUAGGGGAGGCAAAACGG